AAUAUUGCGCAAUGGAGGGAACUCUGACGCAGCGACGCCGCGUGAGCGAUGAAGGUCUUCGGAUCGUAAAGCUCUGUCCUUGGGGAAGAAGGUCUUCGGACUUGACGGUACCUAAGGAGGAAGCCCCGGCUAACUACGUGCCAGCAGCCGCGGUAAUUCGUAGGGGGCAAGCGUUGUCCGGAAUUAUUGGGGGUAAAGGGUGCGUAGGCGGCCUUUUAAAGCAGAAGUGAAAGCCCACCGGUUAACCGUGGGACUGCAAUUGAAACUGGGGGGCUUGAGUAUCGGAGAGGGUAGUGGAAUUCCCAGUGUAGCGGUGGAAUGCGUAGAUAUUGGGAGGAACACCAGUGGCGAAGGCGACUACCUGGACGAAAACUGACGCUGAGGCACGAAAGCUAGGGGAGCAAACA
Molecule: ribosomal RNA, 407 nt
Filed under: uncultured bacterium
Lineage: Bacteria
Description: partial 16S ribosomal RNA
Rfam family: Bacterial small subunit ribosomal RNA
Source: RNAcentral